GGAUGCAAAAGUCGUAACACGGUUUCCGUAGGUGAACCUGCGGAAGGAUCAUUCACACGUUCUGCUUCUCGCGGAGCUGGGGUUUUCUUUCAUCUCUGUCGCUUUUUGGGGCUGGAUGGAAGGAAGCGUCGGUGCCGACGGGAUUGGCAGCGACUGAACGAGUUUUGACCAAUCUUUGAAUCGAUUGUUAUUCUUCCACGACGUUAUUUUGUGAACAAGAGAUAUCGAAGAUAUUCAGCCUGUAUUUCAAUGUGGAUAUGCAGGAAUGUGGGGUUUUAUGCUUUGGGGGGUUGUCGGCAGCGGUUUGGGGCUGCAUGCGUUGUCGGCAGCGGUUCGGGGCUGCAUGCGUGAUCGGCAGCGGUGUGGGGCCGCCUUGCCGGGUCGGCAGCGGUCUGGGGCUGCCUUGCAUGGUCGGCAGUGGUCUGGGGCUGCCAUGCGUGCGUGCAUGCGUGCGGCUGCAGCCCCAUGCCCUGCACACCAUGGUGUGUUAUUACCGGCAUUCCGAUUCUCUCCUGCAUUUUUUUCUCACUGUUUUUUUGUUUGUUUAAAGAAAAAAACUUUCAGCAAUGGAUGUCUUGGCUCACGCAUCGAUGAAGGACGCAGCUAGAUGCGAUACGCAUUGUGAAUUGCAGAUUUUAGUGAACCAUCAGAUUUCUGAACGCAUAUGGCGCUUCUGGGAUUUUCCCCGUAGCACGUCUGUUUCAGUGUCUCUUGACCCCUUCAAAAAAUACACUGCCAUAAAAGCAUCAAACAAGGGCUUAUGUGUCUAGGAUUUUUUGGUUUUAUGGUGGUAUCGUUUGCGUGUCGCAGCAAAAUACGUUUGCAUGCGUCAUGUGAAGUUGUUUGUGGAUAUACUAUUAUUCACGUAUAAAAGCGGCACAUCGCUUAACUCUAUCCUUUCGUUUACGAAAGAGAUACGGUGGUGUGUAACAACUCCUUUGGGGUUGUGUAUGCUACUAUCUCGAACAAAAGUGAACGGAGGGCGGCAGGUUUUCCUGUUGUGAGUUGUGUGUGUUUUGCUUUUUAUGUGGGUAGUAUUUGUAUAUCCUGAUCCUUCCAUCAAUCGAGACGAGUGAUGAUGGUUUUGGAUAAAUAUUUAUUUGUUUUAGACCUGAAAUCAGUCGAGAUUACCCGCUGAAUUUAAGCAUAUUAUUAAGCGGAGGA
This 1164-nucleotide small RNA is filed under the name uncultured Eimeria. RNAcentral's name for it is "eukaryotic LSU rRNA". The stretch from base 556 to 710 matches the Rfam family "5.8S ribosomal RNA". Lineage: Eukaryota; Apicomplexa; Conoidasida; Eucoccidiorida; Eimeriidae. The record is from RNAcentral.